AGCGAACGUUAGCGGCGGGCCUAACACAUGCAAGUCGAACGCGAAAGGUCUUCGGACUGAUUAGAGUGGCGCACGGGUGAGUAACACGUAGGUAAUCUACCUUUGGCGGGGGAUAACGUUCCGAAAGGAGCGCUAAUACCGCAUAAGACCACGGAGUCUCCGGACGCUGUGGGAAAAAGGUGGCCUCUUCUUGAAAGCUAUCACCGGAGGAUGAGCCUGCGUCCCAUCAGCUAGUUGGUAAGGUAAUGGCUUACCAAGGCAAAGACGGGUAGCUGGUUUGAGAGAAUGAUCAGCCACACUGGCACUGGAACACGGGCCAGACUCCUACGGGAGGCAGCAGUGAGGAUAAUUGGGCAAUGGGCGAAAGCCUGACCCAGCCACGCCGCGUGAGUGAUGAAGGCCCUCGGGUCGUAAAG
Molecule: ribosomal RNA, 416 nt
Filed under: uncultured bacterium
Lineage: Bacteria
Description: bacterial SSU rRNA
Rfam family: Bacterial small subunit ribosomal RNA
Source: RNAcentral